RNAcentral lists this ribosomal RNA (550 nucleotides) under uncultured bacterium. Its description in RNAcentral is "bacterial SSU rRNA". It matches the Rfam family "Bacterial small subunit ribosomal RNA", at positions 355 to 896 of the family's 1533-position model. The record is from RNAcentral.
UAGGGAAUCUUCGGCAAUGGACGGAAGUCUGACCGAGCAACGCCGCGUGAGUGAAGAAGGUUUUCGGAUCGUAAAGCUCUGUUGUAAGAGAAGAACGAGUGUGAGAGUGGAAAGUUCACACUGUGACGGUAUCUUACCAGAAAGGGACGGCUAACUACGUGCCAGCAGCCGCGGUAAUACGUAGGUCCCGAGUGUUGUCCGGAUUUAUUGGGCGUAAAGCGAGCGCAGGCGGUUAGAUAAGUCUGAAGUUAAAGGCUGUGGCUUAACCAUAGUACGCUUUGGAAACUGUUUAACUUGAGUGCAGAAGGGGAGAGUGGAAUUCCAUGUGUAGCGGUGAAAUGCGUAGAUAUAUGGAGGAACACCGGUGGCGAAAGCGGCUCUCUGGUCUGUAACUGACGCUGAGGCUCGAAAGCGUGGGGAGCAAACAGGAUUAGAUACCCUGGUAGUCCACGCCGUAAACGAUGAGUGCUAGGUGUUGGGUCCUUUCCGGGACUCAGUGCCGCAGCUAACGCAUUAAGCACUCCGCCUGGGGAGUACGACCGCAAGGUUG